RNAcentral lists this small RNA (3053 nucleotides) under Pongo abelii (Sumatran orangutan). Its description in RNAcentral is "retained intron". The record is from RNAcentral. Lineage: Eukaryota; Metazoa; Chordata; Mammalia; Primates; Hominidae.
UAUAUCAUCUGUAUUUUUAAAAAAAUCAUCAAAAUAAUUUUAAAAGAAGUGAAAAUCAUGUAUAGUCAGAACAAACACGGCUGGCCGCAGUGGCUCACACCUGUAAUCCCAGCACUUUGGGAGGCCAAGGCAGGUGGAUCACCUGAGGUCAGGAGUUUGAGACCAGCCUGGCCAACAUGGUGAAACCCUGUCUCUACUAAAAAUACAAAAAUUAAUUGGGCAUGGUGGUGCACACCUGUAAUUUCAGGUACUUGGGAGGCUGCGGCAGGAGAAUUGCUUGAACCUGGGAGGCAGUGGUUGCAGUGAGCCGAGAUUGUGCCACUGCACUCCACCCUCAGCAACAGAGCAAAACUCUGUCUCAAAAAAAAAAAAAAAAACAAAAAACCUCAUAUACACAUACAUCCAUAUUUAUCUCCAUUGUAGGGGAAGAAAAAGAAUGGGACUAUCGGCCGGGCAUGGUGGCUCACGCCUGUAAUCCCAGCACUUUGGGAGGCCGAGGUGGGCGGAUCACCUGAGGUCGGGAGUUCGAGACCAGCCUGACCAACAUGGUGAAACCUCGUCUCCACUAAAAAUACAAAAUUAGCCAGGUGUGAUGGUGCGUGCCUGUAAUCCCAGCUACUCGGGAGGCUGAGGCAGGAGAAUCACUUGAACCCGGGAGGCAGAGCUGGUGGUGAGCCAAGAUUCCACCAUUGCACGCCAGCCUGGGCAACAGAGCAAAACUCUGUCUCCAAAAAAUAAAAUAAAAUAAAAAGAAUGGGACUAUACACUAUGAAUUCUUUGUGAGGUUUUUUUGGUGAAUAUUUAUGGAGUGCUUGCUGUGUAGCAGGUGUUGCUCUAAGCAGUUUUCUUAUAUCAAACACACUUAAUUCUCCCCAGCAACCUAUGAGAUAGGUAAUAUUCCCAUUUUACAGAUGAACAACAGAGAGGUUAAGUAACUUGCCAAGGUCACACAGCUCGUGAAUAGCAAAGCUGGGCUAGAACCCAGGUAAUGUGGCUCCAGAACCCCUGCUUUUGGCCGUUCUGCUAUUCUAUGAGGUAGUCAUUAUGAUCCCCCUCAUCAGAAAGCAGAAAGCAUGAGAUUCAGAGGGGUGCAAUUACUUGUCCAAGGUCACACAGCUCAUCAGGGAAGGAGCUGGUCCCCAGGCCCAGAUGUGUGGGUCACACACCCAGACUCCAGGCCACCUCCCAGAUCUGAGGCUGCUCCUCUGGAGUCAAGUCUGUGCCUGGGAGAAGCAGGAAGGACCACUGGACCUGCUGUCAGUGGGGCAGGCACAGGCUUUUUCCAGUCCCAGGCUGCCCCCUACUGGCAGUAGGACAAACAGCAGGUGCCUGGGCCCAGCUAGGAUGGGAAGGGUGAGGAUGGGCCUAAGCAGGCUGACACAGGGCUGAGUCCUCCUCUCCCCGCUCCAGUUCUCCGUGGACAUUGACUCGGAGCUGGUGGAGGAGCUGCCGGCCGAGAUCGAGCUGUGGCUGGUGCUGGUGGCCGUGGGUGCAGGGCUGCUGCUGCUGGGGCUGAUCAUCCUCCUGCUGUGGAAGUGCGGCUUCUUCAAGCGAGCCCGCACUCGCGCCCUGUAUGAAGCUAAGAGGCAGAAGGCGGAGAUGAAGAGCCAGCCGUCAGAGACAGAGAGGCUGACCGACGACUACUGAGGGGGCAGCCCCCCACCCCCGGCCCACCUGGUGUGACUUCUUUAAGCGGACCCGCUAUUAUCAGAUCAUGCCCAAGUACCACGCGGUGCGGAUCCGGGAGGAGGAGCGCUACCCACCUCCAGGGAGCACCCUGCCCACCAAGAAGCACUGGGUGACCAGCUGGCAGACUCGGGACCGAUACUACUGACGUCCUCCCUGAUCCCACCCCCUCCUCCCCCAGUGUCCCCUUUCUUCCUAUUUAUCAUAAGUUAUGCCUCUGACAGUCCACAGGGGCCACCGCCUUUGGCUGGCAGCAGCAGGCUCAGGCACAUACACCUCGUCAAGAGCAUGCACAUGCUGUCUGGCCCUGGGGAUCUUCCCACAGGAGGGCCAGCGCUGUGGACCUUACAACGCCGAGCGCACCGCGGUCCUGUGCCCUAGACGCACGUGGGGCCCACUGCUCGUGGACUGUGCUGGUGCAUCACGGAUGGUGCAUGGGCUCGCCGUGUCUCAGCCUCUGCCAGCGCCAAAACAAGCCAAAGAGCCUCCCACCAGAGCCGAGAGGAAAAGGCCCCCGCAAUGUGGUGACACCUCCCCGUUUCACACUGGAUCCAUCUUCAGCCACAGUCACUGGAUUGACUUUGCUGUCAAAACUACUGACAAGGAGCAGCCCCCUGGGCCCCUGGCUGGUGGGCCCCCAGUGACACCCAUGCCAGAGAGCUGGGGGUCCUGCCUAAGGUUGUCCAUGGGGGCACUUGGAGGACCUGGCGUGCUCAGAUCCAACAGCAAAGGAACUAGAAAGAAGGUCCCAGAAAGGCUUUCUUUCCUGCGUCUCUGUGAAGCCUCUCUCCUUGGCCACAGACUGAACUCACAGGGAGUGCAGCGGGAAGGAACAAAGACAGGCAAACGGCAAGGUAGCCUGGGCUCACUGUGCUGGGGCACGGUGGGAUCCUCCACAGAGAGGAGGGGACCAAUUCUGGACAGACAGAUGCUGGGAGGAUACAGAGGAGAUGCCACUUCUGACUCACCACUACCAGCCAGCCUCAGAAGGCCCCAGAGAGACCCUACAAGACCACGGAGGGAGCGACACUUGAAUGUAGAACAGGCAGGGGGCCCUGCCCCGCCCCAUCCAGCCAGACCCCACGCUGACCAUGCGUCAGGGGCCUAGACGUGGAGUUCUUAGCUAUCCUUGGCUUUCAGAGCCAGCCUGGCUCUGCCCCCUCCCCCAUGGGCUGUGUCCUAAGGCCCAUUUGAGAAGCUGAGGCUAGUUCCAGAAAACCUCUGCUGACCCCUGCCUGUUGGCAGGCCCACUCCCCAGCCCCAGCCCCUUCCAUGGUACUGUAGCAGGGGAAUGCCCCCUCCCCCUCCUCGUGCCUUCUUUGUAUAUAGGCUUCUCACGGCGACCAAUAAACAGCUCCCAGUUUGUA